This 591-nucleotide small RNA is filed under the name Pongo abelii (Sumatran orangutan). Its description in RNAcentral is "retained intron". Lineage: Eukaryota; Metazoa; Chordata; Mammalia; Primates; Hominidae. The record is from RNAcentral.
UGUGGCAAGCCAGGGGAGCUGGGGCUUCCUCACCCCCUCAGCACAGGAGGACUCCCUGUAGCCUCAGAAGAUGGAGCUCUCAGGGCCCCUGAGAGCCAAAGCGUGACCCCCAAGCCACUGGAGACUGAGCCUAGCAGGGAGACCGCCUGGUCCAUAGGCCUUCAGGUGACCGUGCCCUUCAUGUUUGCGGGCCUGGGACUGUCCUGGGCCGGCAUGCUUCUGGACUAUUUCCAGCACUGGCCUGUGUUUGUGGAGGUGAAAGACCUUUUGACGUUGGUGCCGCCCCUGGUGGGCCUGAAGGGGAACCUGGAGAUGACGCUGGCAUCCAGACUCUCCACAGCUGCCAACAUUGGACAAAUCGAUGACCCCCAGGAGCAGCACAGAGUCAUCAGCAGCAACCUGGCCCUCAUCCAGGUGCAGGCCACUGUCGUGGGGCUCUUGGCUGCUGUGGCUGCGCUGCUGUUGGGCGUGGUGUCUCAAGAGGAAGUGGAUGUCACCAAGGUGGAGUUGCUGUGUGCCAGCAGUGUCCUCACUGCCUUCCUUGCAGCCUUUGCCCUGGGUGAGCCAUGCCCCAGCUGUGAGCCCCCACCC